RNAcentral lists this ribosomal RNA (253 nucleotides) under uncultured bacterium. Its description in RNAcentral is "partial 16S ribosomal RNA". It matches the Rfam family "Bacterial small subunit ribosomal RNA", at positions 524 to 776 of the family's 1533-position model. The record is from RNAcentral.
UACGUAGGGGCCGAGCGUUGUCCGGAGUUAUUGGGCGUAAAGCGCGCGCAGGCGGCCUCGCGCGCCCGACGUGAAAGCCCCCGGCUUAACCGGGGAGGGUCGUUGGGGACGGCGGGGCUUGAGGGCGGGAGAGGUCGGUGGAAUUCCCGGUGUAGUGGUGAAAUGCGUAGAGAUCGGCAGGAACACCCAGGGGGAAACCAGCCGACUGGGCAUCUGCUGACGCUGAGGAGCGAAAGCGUGGGGAGCGAACAGG